CUGCGGCGGAUUAGCUAGUUGGUGGGGUAACGGCCUACCAAGGCGAUGAUCCGUAGGGGGCGUGAGAGCGUGGCCCCCCACACUGGCACUGAGAUACGGGCCAGACUCCUACGGGAGGCAGCAGUGAGGAAUAUUGCACAAUGGGCGCAAGCCUGAUGCAGCAACGCCGCGUGCGGGACGAAGGCCUUCGGGUCGUAAACCGCUUUUCUGGGGGACGAGUAAGGACGGUACCUCAGGAAUAAGUCUCGGCUAACUACGUGCCAGCAGCCGCGGUAAAACGUAGGAGGCGAGCGUUAUCCGGAUUUACUGGGCGUAAAGCGUACGCAGGUGGCUUCGUGAGUCGGACAUGAAAGCUCCCGGCUUAACUGGGAGAGGUUGUUCGAUACUGCGAGGCUUGAGGUUGGGAGAGGGACGUGGAAUUCCCGGUGUAGUGGUGGAAUGCGUAGAUAUCGGGAGGAACACCAGUGGCGCAAGCGGCGUCCUGGCCCACACCUGACGCUGAGGUACGAAAGCGUGGGUAGCAAACAGGAUUAGAUACCCUGGUAGUCCACGCUGUAAACGAUGUCAACUGGGUGUCGGUAGUUUUACACUAUCGGUGCCGAAGCCAACGCG
RNAcentral lists this ribosomal RNA (612 nucleotides) under uncultured bacterium. Its description in RNAcentral is "bacterial SSU rRNA". It matches the Rfam family "Bacterial small subunit ribosomal RNA", at positions 231 to 859 of the family's 1533-position model. The record is from RNAcentral.